Molecule: ribosomal RNA, 253 nt
Filed under: uncultured bacterium
Lineage: Bacteria
Description: partial 16S ribosomal RNA
Rfam family: Bacterial small subunit ribosomal RNA
Source: RNAcentral
UACGAAGGGGGCUAGCGUUACUCGGAAUGACUGGGCGUAAAGGGCGCGUAGGCGGUUUGCUUAGUUAGGCGUGAAAUUCCUGGGCUCAACCUGGGGGCUGCGCUUAAUACAGGCAGACUAGAGUGUGAAAGAGGGUCGUGGAAUUUCCAGUGUAGAGGUGAAAUUCGUAGAUAUUGGAAAGAACACCGGUGGCGAAGGCGGCGACCUGGUUCAUUACUGACGUUGAGGCGCGAAAGCGUGGGGAGCAAACAGG